CACAAUUGGUGAUGUGACCACAAAUAUAUAAAGAGUUAUCAAUUUUACUCACCCUGUGAUGGAGAGAUGCCCAGGGGAUGAUUAAUGGCCACAUUUAGGUUCAAAAAACAGAUUUUUGCUGUUCAAAGGGAUUUUUCAAUGUUCAAGGAUUCAUGCGUCUUGUGUCUGAACACUUACAGACAAAUCUGAAAGAAAUAUCACGAAGUUCUAAUAGGAGGCUAUACUGUUAGCAUGACAUUAGCUCUAAACUGCUAGUUAUAUAAGUUUGUUAAAAUGGUAGGCGUGGGUAAUUUGAGCCGAAAGUCCUGGGGUAAGUUGAGCCAGUGGCUCACCCCUCCUUACAAUUACAUAGAAUUAUUUCACUGUAAUUCUACAUUAUAUUUCAUUAAUUUUAGAACAAACAUGUUUGAUUUAGUUCUUUUUGAACUUGAUUUUGUUCUGAAAAUUACCAUUCAUCCAUUACUAUCAGCUGAGAGUUUACUCUUCAAAUAAACGCCUCUGAAUAUCUGAACAGCGACAGACUGCAGUAUAAAACCACAGAUAUACCUGUCGAUGUUUGUCAGGUGAGGCGGUCAGAGUCCGCCGGUGAUCGGUGAGCUCGUGGAAUGCGGAAGCAGGACUCAUUACAGCUUGACAGGUGUCGUAGCAGGUUAUUUGGAAGAGACAAACAUGUGGCCAAAUCAAGGACCUCCAGCCGCUGGGCCGCCCAAUCCUGCCUUUCCUUCUCCUCCAAACCCAGCGUACCCAGCCAUGCCCGGACCCAACCCCGUCUAUCCACCCAUGAACCAUCCCACGACCAUCCCGUACCCCGCGCCCAACCAGCCGUUCCCCCCGGCGGGGCCCUUCCCCGGGGCCGCUCACCCCUGCCCCGUCCCUCAGUACGGGGGCCACCCCGCGGGAGUCCACGCACCUGGACACAAGAAACACAAGAAGAUGAAGAAAGGCCAUAAAGCUCAUAAAGCUCACAAGGAGCACAAACACAUGAAACAUGGCAAGCAUUCCUCAUCCAGCAGCAGCAGCAGCAGCAGCAGUGAUUCUGACUGAAGACAAGCACUCACACACAACCUGCUCUCUGUCUGCGUCUGAUCUCACGAGUGUCAGGGCUGAUAAAUCAAGCCCAGCGGCUAUACAAUCGAUAAUCAAAUGCAGUAAUGUAUUGCACUUAAGUAUAUUUAUGUGUUUCUGUGAGUCUGAAUGCUUUUCUUAAUUACAUUUACAAGAAAAAAGUAAUAAUCAGCUUUCCGUGUGAAGAGAUCACAUUUAAUUAUAACUUUUGCUGAACUUGACUCAGUUGUGAACAACAUACUGAAAUGUCAGACAUCUGCCUCCAUUUGAGAAUGGACAACUGUAAUUAAACAAGCUCACUUUGUUUAUGCAUUAAGGAGAAAAGUCCCAGAUAGCACACACACAUACGUCUGCAAGACGUCUGGAAAACAUCUGCUGUGCACAAACAUCUGAUAAACCUCUUUAAAAAGUCAGUUUUACAUACAUUCUAAAUCAUAAACAUCUUAAAUAACAUCUUUAACAUCUGACAGGAGAAGUCCCAGAAACGUAUUGCAGAUGAGCAGAUGUAAACACACACCUGGAAUAGACGUCUCUGAGAUAUGUGUGCUAUCAGGCCUGCUUCUUCCUCUCUUGUGUUCAUUAAAAAGUUAAACAAUUAAAAAGUAUAUGCUUUGGCCUGGAUACAUCUAGUUCUGUAACUGAGGAAGCUUCAGACACAACACCUGUAGUGUAAUGUUUCUUUGCACUACCUGAAGCAGUAAAUAUGUAUUGAUCAAAGUUAAUAAUCAGGAAUUGAUGAAGCUGAAAUAGAUAUUGUAGUUAAUAUAGACAUGAGUGUUCUGCAAGUGAUGUAUUUCAGAUUUAAUCAGCUGUAAACGCACUUUAAAUGGCUUUAACUGUGUGUGCUGAGAAAUCAGUUGCAUGUUUUUGUUGGCUAAUAAAGAGGCACAGGCAGUUUUUCAAUGAAUAAAACAUUAAGAGAAAGCUUGAAACAUCUUCCAGUUAUAUUCAUUAUUGUGUGCUAAAUUAAUGUUUUAAUAACAAUGCAAUUACUUUGUCAACAAAUCUUGGGAUUUGCACAGCUCAGCAUUAAAAUAUCUCCUGAAUGCCCU
Molecule: long non-coding RNA, 2117 nt
Organism: Sinocyclocheilus anshuiensis
Lineage: Eukaryota; Metazoa; Chordata; Actinopteri; Cypriniformes; Cyprinidae
Source: Ensembl